CCGACUGCUAUUGGGGUGAGGAUAAGCCAUGCGAGUUGAAUGGGAUACCUAGAGUUCCCAUGGCAAACUGCUCAGUAACACAUGAUCGACUUACCCUAUAGAGAAAAAUAACCUCGGGAAACUGAGGAUAAUGUUUCAUAGUUGAAUUGGCUUGGAAAAGUUUUUCGACGAAAAGGGUAAAAAGAAUGGUUUUUAUCCGCUAUAGGAUAGGAUCGUGUUCGAUUAUGGUUGUUGGUGAGGUAAUGGCUCACCAAGCCGAUAAUCGAUAGGGGCCGUGAGAGCGGGAGCCCCGAGAUGGGUACUGAGACAACGACCCAGGCCUUACGAGGCGCAGCAGGCGCGGAACCUCCGCAAUACACGAAAGUGUGACGGGGUUACCCAAAGUGUUCAAUUUUGAACUGUGGUAGGUGAGUAAUGUUCCCUACUAGAAAGGAGAGGGCAAGGCUGGUGCCAGCCGCCGCGGUAAAACCAGCUCUUCAAGUGGUCGGGAUAAUUAUUGGGCUUAAAGUGUCCGUAGCCGGUUUAGUAAGUUCCUGGUAAAAUCGGGUAGCUUAACUAUCUAUAUGCUAGGAAUACUACUAUACUAGAGGGCGGGAGAGGUCUGAGGUACUACAGGGGUAGGGGUGAAAUCUUAUAAUCCUUGUUGGACCACCAGUGGCGAAGGCGUCAGACUGGAACGCGCCUGACGGUGAGGGACGAAAGCCAGGGGAGCGAACCGGAUUAGAUACCCGGGUAGUCCUGGCCGUAAACGAUGCAUACUAGGUGAUGGCACGGCCAUGAGCCGUGUCAGUGCCGUAGGGAA
RNAcentral lists this ribosomal RNA (802 nucleotides) under uncultured archaeon. RNAcentral describes it as "bacterial SSU rRNA". It matches the Rfam family "Archaeal small subunit ribosomal RNA", at positions 23 to 810 of the family's 1478-position model. The record is from RNAcentral.